GCCAGACUCCUACGGGAGGCAGCAGUGGGGGAUAUUGCACAAUGGGGGAAACCCUGAUGCAGCGACGCCGCGUGGGCGAAGAAGUAUUUCGGUAUGUAAAGCCCUAUCAGCAGGGAAGAAGAAAUGACGGUACCUGAGUAAGAAGCACCGGCUAAAUACGUGCCAGCAGCCGCGGUAAUACGUAGGGGGCAAGCGUUAUCCGGAUUUACUGGGUGUAAAGGGGGCGCAGACGGCAGCGCAAGCCAGGAGUGAAAGCCCGGGGCCCAACCCCGGGACUGCUCUUGGAACUGCGCGGCUGGAGUGCAGGAGGGGCAGGCGGAAUUCCUGGUGUAGCGGUGAAAUGCGUAGAUAUCAGGAGGAACACCGGUGGCGAAGGCGGCCUGCUGGACUGCGACUGACGUUGAGGCCCGAAAGCGUGGGGAGCAAACAGGAUUAGAUACCCCAGUACG
RNAcentral lists this ribosomal RNA (449 nucleotides) under uncultured bacterium. RNAcentral describes it as "bacterial SSU rRNA". It matches the Rfam family "Bacterial small subunit ribosomal RNA", at positions 330 to 793 of the family's 1533-position model. The record is from RNAcentral.